This 452-nucleotide ribosomal RNA is filed under the name uncultured bacterium. RNAcentral's name for it is "bacterial SSU rRNA". It matches the Rfam family "Bacterial small subunit ribosomal RNA", at positions 29 to 524 of the family's 1533-position model. The record is from RNAcentral.
AACGAACGCUGGCGGCAGGCCUAACACAUGCAAGUCGAACGCCGUAGCAAUACGGAGUGGCAGACGGGUGAGUAACACGUGGGAACGUACCUUUCGGUUCGGAAUAACUCAGGGAAACUUGAGCUAAUACCGGAUACGUGCGAGAGCAGAAAGAUUUAUCGCCGAAAGAUCGGCCCGCGUCCGAUUAGCUAGUUGGUGAGGUAAUGGCUCACCAAGGCGACGAUCGGUAGCUGGUCUGAGAGGGAUGAUCAGCCACACCUGGGACUGAGACACGGCCCAGACUCCUACGGGAGGCAGCAGUGGGGAAUAUUGGACAAUGGGCGCAAGCCUGAUCCAGCCAUGCCGCGUGAGUGAUGACGGCCCUAGGGUUGUAAAGCUCUUUCGCCAGGGACGAUAAUGACGGUACCUGGAUAAGAAGCCCCGGCUAACUUCGUGCCAGCAGCCGCGGUAGA